CUCCUCCACCCAUGGGAUUUUCCAGUUGAAAUGAUACAGAGAAGAUUAGCAUGGCCCCUGCACAGGGAUCUAACUUCUCAUACACAUGGUGUGGUCUUGCUA
Small nuclear RNA from Bison bison bison, 102 nucleotides. NCBI's taxonomy places the organism in Eukaryota, Metazoa, Chordata, Mammalia, Artiodactyla, Bovidae. The record is from Ensembl.